Molecule: ribosomal RNA, 72 nt
Filed under: Rickettsia rickettsii
Lineage: Bacteria; Pseudomonadati; Pseudomonadota; Alphaproteobacteria; Rickettsiales; Rickettsiaceae
Source: RNAcentral
AGCUUGGUGGUUAUAGCAUGAGUGAAACACACGAUCCCAUCCCGAACUCGAAUGUGAAACCUCAUAGCGCUA